CUGGAAGCUACGUCUCCGGUUCUUUGUGUCCUUGUCCAUCCAAACCUUCCAGUUCUAAUUACAGGAACAGCAGAUGGCAUCAUGCACGUCUGGAGCUCCACUAAUUUCAGGCUCAAGAGAACCAUUAACUUAGGCGGCGGUGGACGUGUUGUCGGUCUCGCAUGUUUGAUGGGUUCACGAAGGAUUGUGAUUGGGCAAGAACGCCAUAUUUACCAUGGAUAUCCAUGACGAGGAAGUGAUUGUGCUCCAAGCGAUGUAGACACCGGCGAGUCACGCUGUCGCUGGCGGCUACUAGUGGUCUGAGCUUGAGGAUCCAACCAAUGCGCCCGCCAUCGUUGGGAACUUUCGACUUGAUGUGAAGAUGGAAUUC
This is a long non-coding RNA of Triticum aestivum (bread wheat), 370 nucleotides long. RefSeq lists it as uncharacterized. The record is from RefSeq and is a predicted model, not a curated record. NCBI's taxonomy places the organism in Eukaryota, Viridiplantae, Streptophyta, Magnoliopsida, Poales, Poaceae. The transcript is spliced from 3 exons.